This is a long non-coding RNA of Carlito syrichta (Philippine tarsier), 1288 nucleotides long. RefSeq lists it as uncharacterized. The transcript is spliced from 2 exons. Lineage: Eukaryota; Metazoa; Chordata; Mammalia; Primates; Tarsiidae. The record is from RefSeq and is a predicted model, not a curated record.
UAUUCUGACAAGUCCCUAUACACCCAGCUGUGCUUUUACCGGUACAUUUUUGAUGUGGACUGUGCACUGGAGAAACUUACUACCGAUCAUGAGAAAGAUAAAUUGAAUAAGCAGUUUCUUACCCCCAAAGUUCGUCAGGAAUACAGAAAACUCAAGAACACAGCAGAGCAGUUCCUGUCCCGAAGUGGCUACUCUGAAGUGAACCUCAGCAAACUCUUCGCUGGUUGUGCUGUGAAAUCCUAAGGGAAUCCCAGGAAUGAACAAGGAGGGGGUAGUUGAAAAAAAUCCCCGCUUCCUCUGUACCCCCGCUUUGACCCUAACUGCUUCUCUAGCAUCUGCUUUUCCCUUUAGGACUGUGUCUUAUGUUUGUGUGGAUGUGGACCUGUGGAGGAAUUGCAAAACAUAUUGAAUCAACCGAGCAUCACAGAAGAUCUACACAGUCUUCCUAUUAAGAUGGACUGCUUUGAAACAUGACUUUAGAGCCCUUCCCCAAGCACCUGAAGAGGUAGCAUACUGAGGACUAGGUUUUUGGGGAAGGAAAAUUGCUACUUUGAGAGUAGCUGGAAUGUAAAUGACCCAGGGCUUUGCCCCCAGAGCCUUUAGCUGAGGUGCCCCUAGAAAGAGAGAUUCUCUUCAGCCUGGCUGAAGAGUUAAUGUUUUGCCUUUUCACAUGCCAAUUAAACCCAGUCUAAAUCCAAACGCUUCCCCAGCCGCUUGCUCCAGGAGUGGCUGUCCUUUUCAGUCUUGUCUUUUGUAGAGAGAGGUAGCUGACGUGGGAGAUUUAGAAGCCUUGCACUCACUAAAUAGAUUAAACAGAGCGAGCUUGUUUUUUGAAUUGCUCCUAAGUCCAGCACACACUGAGCAGGUGUUUUACACUCACAUUCCCUUUUUCCCCCUUAAAUAGAAGGUGCAGGUAAAGGUUUACACAACAGGAAAGCACAUUUAAAAUAAUUUGAUUUGCUAACAGUUCAUUAAAAUGUGUACAAUUCGGGGCAAGGAUCACUGUGUUGUAUUCAGAAAAAUUGGGAGGGGAUAGUUCAUUGGCCCUGAUGCUUGAUGCUUGCGAUUUUUCCUCAUUUCUUCAGAAUGGUGCCCUCUCGGCCAGCAGCAAAAUACAUUUCCAUAUGGCAAUCUUUCCUUUCUUAUAUCAUUGGUAAGAUCAUACUAACAAAAUCUCUCCCUGUGUACAACUAUACUUUGUUUUUUAAAAAAAUGUUUACCAAUGUGUUUUUAUAAAAGAAAAAUAUGUUGUGCCUUUUACUUAAGAAUAAAGUUUUCUAAAGGGAAA